Molecule: ribosomal RNA, 1487 nt
Filed under: uncultured bacterium
Lineage: Bacteria
Description: 16S ribosomal RNA
Rfam family: Bacterial small subunit ribosomal RNA
Source: RNAcentral
UUAGAGUUUGAUCCUGGCUCAGGAUGAACGCUAGCGGCAGGCCUAAUACAUGCAAGUCGUACGGGAUUGUUUCUUAGCUUGCUAGGGGGCAUGAGAGUGGCGCACGGGUGCGUAACGCGUGAGCAACCUGCCCAUGUCAGGGGGAUAGCCCGUUGAAAGACGGAUUAACACCGCAUGAAGAUAUUUUCCGGCAUCGGGAGAUAUCCAAAUAUUUAUAGGACAUGGAUGGGCUCGCGUGGCAUUAGCUGGUUGGUGCGGUAACGGCGCACCAAGGCGAUGAUGCCUAGGGGCUCUGAGAGGAGAAUCCCCCACACUGGUACUGAGACACGGACCAGACUCCUACGGGAGGCAGCAGUAGGGAAUAUUGGUCAAUGGGCGGAAGCCUGAACCAGCCAUGCCGCGUGCGGGAGGAAGGCCCUACGGGUCGUAAACCGCUUUUAUACGGGAACAACCACACGUACGAGUACGUGUCUGAGUGUACCGUAGGAAUAAGGAUCGGCUAACUCCGUGCCAGCAGCCGCGGUAAUACGGAGGAUCCGAGCGUUAUCCGGAAUUAUUGGGUUUAAAGGGUGCGUAGGCGGCAUUUUAAGUCAGGGGUGAAAUACAGCGGCUCAACCGUUGCAGUGCCCUUGAUACUGAAGUGCUUGAAUGUGGUCGAAGUAGGCGGAACGGGACAAGUAGCGGUGAAAUGCAUAGAUAUGUCCCAGAACCCCGAUUGCGAAGGCAGCUUCCUAGUCCAUUAUUGACGCUGAUGCACGAAAGCGUGGGGAUCGAACAGGAUUAGAUACCCUGGUAGUCCACGCCCUAAACGAUGAUGACUCGAUGUUAGCGAUAUACAGUUAGCGUCCAAGCGAAAGCGUUAAGUCAUCCACCCUGGGGAGUACGGUCGCAAGACUGAACUCAAGGGAAUUUGACGGGGGGCCGCACAAGCGGGAGGAGCAUGUGUUUAAUUUCGAUGAUACGCGAAGGAACUUAACCGGCUUGAAGUUAGCGACGUACGAGACGGUACCUCCCUUCGGGGCGCGAAACUAGGUGCUGCAUGGCUGUCGUCAGCUCAUGCCGUGAGGUGUUGGGUUAAGUCCCGCAACGAGCGCAACCCCUAUGUUUAGUUGCCAGCGCGUAAUGGCGGGGACUCUAAACAGACUGCCUGUGCAAACAGUGAGGAAGGCGGGGACGACGUCAAGUCAUCAUGGCCCUUACGUCCGGGGCUACACACGUGCUACAAUGGGCGGUACAGCGGGCAGCUACCUGGCAACAGGAUGCGAAUCUCCCAAAGCCGCCCACAGUUCGGAUCGGGGCCUGCAACUCGGCCCCGUGAAGCUGGAUUCGCUAGUAAUCGCGUAUCAGCAAUGACGCGGUGAAUACGUUCCCGGGCCUUGUACACACCGCCCGUCAAGCCAUGAAAGCCGGGGUGCCUAAAGCAUGUAACCGCAAGGAGCGUGUUAGGGCAAUACUGGUAAUUGGGGCUAAGUCGUAACAAGGUAACC